GCUUACGGCCAUACCAGCCUGGGUACGCCCGAUCUCGUUUGAUCUCGGAAGCUAAGCAGGGUCGUCCCUGGUUAGUACUUGGAUGGGAGACGGCCUGGGAAUACCAGGUGCUGUAAGCA
Molecule: ribosomal RNA, 119 nt
Filed under: Salmo salar (Atlantic salmon)
Lineage: Eukaryota; Metazoa; Chordata; Actinopteri; Salmoniformes; Salmonidae
Source: RNAcentral